Molecule: ribosomal RNA, 148 nt
Filed under: uncultured eukaryote
Lineage: Eukaryota
Description: partial 18S ribosomal RNA
Rfam family: Eukaryotic small subunit ribosomal RNA
Source: RNAcentral
UGGUGGAGUUUGUUUGGUUUGUCUGGUUUAUUCCGAUAACGAACGAGACCCCGUCCUACUUGCUAGACUGAGGAUUGUUGCUUGUCCUCAGCAUCUUCUUAGAGGGACAACUGGCGUUUAUCUAGCUACAUGAAAUGGGGCCAUAACA